Non-coding RNA from Mycena vulgaris, 98 nucleotides. The record is from the annotation of a GenBank genome assembly. NCBI's taxonomy places the organism in Eukaryota, Fungi, Basidiomycota, Agaricomycetes, Agaricales, Mycenaceae.
UCGGGUGUGGUGCACGGCGCACGGCGGCUUGAGUUACGGUAGUCCUUGAGAAUGCACGUAAGCCGCAGACUUCCGGGGUUCGACUCCCCGCACCCGAA